RNAcentral lists this ribosomal RNA (2237 nucleotides) under Pseudomonas aeruginosa. Its description in RNAcentral is "bacterial LSU rRNA". It matches the Rfam family "Bacterial large subunit ribosomal RNA", at positions 389 to 2615 of the family's 2925-position model. The record is from RNAcentral. Lineage: Bacteria; Pseudomonadati; Pseudomonadota; Gammaproteobacteria; Pseudomonadales; Pseudomonadaceae.
AAGGAUCUUUGAAGUGAAAUCGAGUAGGACGGAGCACGAGAAACUUUGUCUGAACAUGGGGGGACCAUCCUCCAAGGCUAAAUACUACUGACUGACCGAUAGUGAACCAGUACCGUGAGGGAAAGGCGAAAAGAACCCCGGAGAGGGGAGUGAAAUAGAACCUGAAACCGUAUGCGUACAAGCAGUGGGAGCCUACUUGUUAGGUGACUGCGUACCUUUUGUAUAAUGGGUCAGCGACUUAUAUUCAGUGGCGAGCUUAACCGAAUAGGGUAGGCGUAGCGAAAGCGAGUCUUAAUAGGGCGUUUAGUCGCUGGGUAUAGACCCGAAACCGGGCGAUCUAUCCAUGAGCAGGUUGAAGGUUAGGUAACACUGACUGGAGGACCGAACCCACUCCCGUUGAAAAGGUAGGGGAUGACUUGUGGAUCGGAGUGAAAGGCUAAUCAAGCUCGGAGAUAGCUGGUUCUCCUCGAAAGCUAUUUAGGUAGCGCCUCAUGUAUCACUCUGGGGGGUAGAGCACUGUUUCGGCUAGGGGGUCAUCCCGACUUACCAAACCGAUGCAAACUCCGAAUACCCAGAAGUGCCGAGCAUGGGAGACACACGGCGGGUGCUAACGUCCGUCGUGAAAAGGGAAACAACCCAGACCGCCAGCUAAGGUCCCGAAGUUGUGGUGAAGUGGUAAACGAUGUGGGAAGGCUUAGACAGCUAGGCGGUUGGCUUAGAAGCAGCCAUCCUUUAAAGAAAGCGUAAUAGCUCACUAGUCGAGUCGGCCUGCGCGGAAGAUGUAACGGGGCUCAAACCACACACCGAAGCUGCGGGUGUCACGUAAGUGACGCGGUAGAGGAGCGUUCUGUAAGCCUGUGAAGGUGAGUUGAGAAGCUUGCUGGAGGUAUCAGAAGUGCGAAUGCUGACAUGAGUAACGACAAUGGGUGUGAAAAACACCCACGCCGAAAGACCAAGGGUUCCUGCGCAACGUUAAUCGACGCAGGGUUAGUCGGUUCCUAAGGCGAGGCUGAAAAGCGUAGUCGAUGGGAAACAGGUUAAUAUUCCUGUACUUCUGGUUACUGCGAUGGAGGGACGGAGAAGGCUAGGCCAGCUUGGCGUUGGUUGUCCAAGUUUAAGGUGGUAGGCUGAAAUCUUAGGUAAAUCCGGGGUUUCAAGGCCGAGAGCUGAUGACGAGUCGUCUUUUAGAUGACGAAGUGGUUGAUGCCAUGCUUCCAAGAAAAGCUUCUAAGCUUCAGGUAACCAGGAACCGUACCCCAAACCGACACAGGUGGUCGGGUAGAGAAUACCAAGGCGCUUGAGAGAACUCGGGUGAAGGAACUAGGCAAAAUGGCACCGUAACUUCGGGAGAAGGUGCGCCGGCUAGGGUGAAGGAUUUACUCCGUAAGCUCUGGCUGGUCGAAGAUACCAGGCCGCUGCGACUGUUUAUUAAAAACACAGCACUCUGCAAACACGAAAGUGGACGUAUAGGGUGUGACGCCUGCCCGGUGCCGGAAGGUUAAUUGAUGGGGUUAGCGCAAGCGAAGCUCUUGAUCGAAGCCCCGGUAAACGGCGGCCGUAACUAUAACGGUCCUAAGGUAGCGAAAUUCCUUGUCGGGUAAGUUCCGACCUGCACGAAUGGCGUAACGAUGGCGGCGCUGGCUCCACCCGAGACUCAGUGAAAUUGAAAUCGCUGUGAAGAUGCAGUGUAUCCGCGGCUAGACGGAAAGACCCCGUGAACCUUUACUGUAGCUUUGCACUGGACUUUGAGCCUGCUUGUGUAGGAUAGGUGGGAGGCUUUGAAGCGUGGACGCCAGUUCGCGUGGAGCCAUCCUUGAAAUACCACCCUGGCAUGCUUGAGGUUCUAACUCUGGUCCGUGAUCCGGAUCGAGGACAGUGUAUGGUGGGCAGUUUGACUGGGGCGGUCUCCUCCUAAAGAGUAACGGAGGAGUACGAAGGUGCGCUCAGACCGGUCGGAAAUCGGUCGCAGAGUAUAAAGGCAAAAGCGCGCUUGACUGCGAGACAGACACGUCGAGCAGGUACGAAAGUAGGUCUUAGUGAUCCGGUGGUUCUGUAUGGAAGGGCCAUGGCUCAACGGAUAAAAGGUCCUCCGGGGAUAACAGGCUGAUACCGCCCAAGAGUUCAUAGCGACGGCGGUGUUUGGCACCUCGAUGUCGGCUCAUCACAUCCUGGGGCUGAAGCCGGACCCAAGGGUAUGGCUGUUCGCCAUUUAAAGUGGUACGCGAGCUGGGUUUAGA